RNAcentral lists this long non-coding RNA (576 nucleotides) under Homo sapiens (human). RNAcentral's name for it is "non-protein coding lnc-TPD52-3:13". The record is from RNAcentral. Lineage: Eukaryota; Metazoa; Chordata; Mammalia; Primates; Hominidae.
ACUCCUUCAAACCAGUACCUGGAAGGCUCAUCUAAGGUCUUCUAGGCCUAGCAUUCUAACAUCAAAUGAUCAUCUGAUGAUCAUUUAAGGUUGUUGAAAAAUUCUGGUUGUGAACUUCUUUGUCUUUUUAGUUCUUCAUGAUCAUGCAGGAUUGCAAGCCUUUUCACAUUCCUUUAGAAACUCCCCAACUUUUAAAUCAUUUGAAGAAAAGGUCGAAAACUUAAAGUCUAAAGUAGGGGGAACCAAGCCUGCUGGUGGUGAUUUUGGAGAAGUCUUGAAUUCGGCUGCAAAUGCUAGUGCCACCACCACGGAGCCUCUUCCAGAAAAGACACAGGAGAGCCUGUGAGAUUCCUACCUUUGUUCUGCUACCCACUGCCAGAUGCUGCAAGCGAGGUCCAAGCACAUCUUGUCAACAUGCAUUGCCAUGAAUUUCUACCAGAUGUGCUUUUAUUUAGCUUUACAUAUUCCUUUGACCAAAUAGUUUGUGGGUUAAACAAAAUGAAAAUAUCUUCACCUCUAUUCUUGGGAAACACCCUUUAGUGUACAUUUAUGUUCCUUUAUUUAGGAAACACCAUU